UCCUCGUUGGCGCAGUUGGUUAGCGCGUGGUACUUAUAAACAUUAGGCGAUGCCAAGGUCACGGGUUCGAGCCCCGUACGAGGAA
This 85-nucleotide transfer RNA is filed under the name Bursaphelenchus xylophilus (pine wood nematode). It matches the Rfam family "tRNA". From Rfam's summary of the family: Transfer RNA (tRNA) molecules are approximately 80 nucleotides in length. The record is from Rfam by way of RNAcentral. Lineage: Eukaryota; Metazoa; Nematoda; Chromadorea; Rhabditida; Aphelenchoididae.